RNAcentral lists this ribosomal RNA (834 nucleotides) under uncultured Streptococcus sp. Its description in RNAcentral is "bacterial SSU rRNA". It matches the Rfam family "Bacterial small subunit ribosomal RNA", at positions 55 to 870 of the family's 1533-position model. The record is from RNAcentral. Lineage: Bacteria; Bacillati; Bacillota; Bacilli; Lactobacillales; Streptococcaceae.
AUGCAAGUAGAACGCUGAAGAGAGGAGCUUGCUCUUCUUGGAUGAGUUGCGAACGGGUGAGUAACGCGUAGGUAACCUGCCUUGUAGCGGGGGAUAACUAUUGGAAACGAUAGCUAAUACCGCAUAACAGUCGACAUUGCAUGAUGUUGAUUUGAAAGGGGCAAAUGCUCCACUACCAGAUGGACCUGCGUUGUAUUAGCUAGUUGGUGAGGUAACGGCUCACCAAGGCGACGAUACAUAGCCGACCUGAGAGGGUGAUCGGCCACACUGGGACUGAGACACGGCCCAGACUCCUACGGGAGGCAGCAGUAGGGAAUCUUCGGCAAUGGACGGAAGUCUGACCGAGCAACGCCGCGUGAGUGAAGAAGGUUUUCGGAUCGUAAAGCUCUGUUGUAAGAGAAGAACGAGUGUGAGAGUGGAAAGUUCACACUGUGACGGUAACUUACCAGAAAGGGACGGCUAACUACGUGCCAGCAGCCGCGGUAAUACGUAGGUCCCGAGCGUUAUCCGGAUUUAUUGGGCGUAAAGCGAGCGCAGGCGGUUAGAUAAGUCUGAAGUUAAAGGCUGUGGCUUAACCAUAGUACGCUUUGGAAACUGUUUAACUUGAGUGCGGAAGGGGAGAGUGGAAUUCCAUGUGUAGCGGUGAAAUGCGUAGAUAUAUGGAGGAACACCGGUGGCGAAAGCGGCUCUCUGGUCUGUAACUGACGCUGAGGCUCGAAAGCGUGGGGAGCAAACANGGAUUAGAUACCCUGGUAGUCCACGCCGUAAACGAUGAGUGCUAGGUGUUGGGUCCUUUCCGGGACUCAGUGCCGCAGCUAACGCAUUAAGCACUCC